AGAGUUUGAUCCUGGCUCAGAUUGAACGCUGGCGGCAUGCUUUACACAUGCAAGUCGAACGGCAGCGCGGGGCAACCUGGCGGCGAGUGGCGAACGGGUGAGUAAUAUAUCGGAACGUACCCAAGAGUGGGGGAUAACGUAGCGAAAGUUACGCUAAUACCGCAUACGAUCUAAGGAUGAAAGCAGGGGACCGCAAGGCCUUGUGCUCCUGGAGCGGCCGAUAUCUGAUUAGCUAGUUGGUAGGGUAAAGGCCUACCAAGGCUACGAUCAGUAGCUGGUCUGAGAGGACGACCAGCCACACUGGAACUGAGACACGGUCCAGACUCCUACGGGAGGCAGCAGUGGGGAAUUUUGGACAAUGGGCGCAAGCCUGAUCCAGCAAUGCCGCGUGAGUGAAGAAGGCCUUCGGGUUGUAAAGCUCUUUUGUCAGGGAAGAAACGGUGGGGGCUAAUAUCCCCCACUAAUGACGGUACCUGAAGAAUAAGCACCGGCUAACUACGUGCCAGCAGCCGCGGUAAUACGUAGGGUGCAAGCGUUAAUCGGAAUUACUGGGCGUAAAGCGUGCGCAGGCGGUUUUGUAAGUCUGAUGUGAAAUCCCCGGGCUCAACCUGGGAAUUGCAUUGGAGACUGCAAGGCUAGAAUCUGGCAGAGGGGGGUAGAAUUCCACGUGUAGCAGUGAAAUGCGCAGAGAUGUGGAGGAACACCGAUGGCGAAGCAGCCCCCUGGGUCAAGAUUGACGCUCAUGCACGAAAGCGUGGGGAGCAAACAGGAUUAGAUACCCUGGUAGUCCACGCCCUAAACGAUGUCUACUAGUUGUCGGGUUUUAAUUAACUUGGUAACGCAGCUAACGCGUGAAGUAGACCGCCUGGGGAGUACGGUCGCAAGAUUAAAACUCAAAGGAAUUGACGGGGACCCGCACAAGCGGUGGAUGACGUGGAUUAAUUCGAUGCAACGCGAAAAACCUUACCUACCCUUGACAUGUACGGAAGCCACGAGAGAUCGAGGUGUGCUCGAAAGAGAACCGUAACACAGGUGCUGCAUGGCUGUCGUCAGCUCGUGUCGUGAGAUGUUGGGUUAAGUCCCGCAACGAGCGCAACCCUUGUCAUUAGUUGCUACGAAAGAGCACUCUAAUGAGACUGCCGGUGACAAACCGGAGGAAGGUGGGGAUGACGUCAAGUCCUCAUGGCCCUUAUGGGUAGGGCUUCACACGUCAUACAAUGGUACAUACAGAGGGCCGCCAACCCGCGAGGGGGAGCUAAUCCCAGAAAGUGUAUCGUAGUCCGGAUUGUAGUCUGCAACUCGACUACAUGAAGUUGGAAUCGCUAGUAAUCGCGGAUCAGCAUGUCGCGGUGAAUACGUUCCCGGGUCUUGUACACACCGCCCGUCACACCAUGGGAGCGGGUUUUACCAGAAGUAGGUAGCUUAACCGCAAGGAGGGCGCUUACCACGGUAGGAUUCGUGACUGGGGUGAAGUCGUAACAAGGUAACCGUA
This 1492-nucleotide ribosomal RNA is filed under the name uncultured bacterium. Its description in RNAcentral is "16S ribosomal RNA". It matches the Rfam family "Bacterial small subunit ribosomal RNA". The record is from RNAcentral.